Molecule: long non-coding RNA, 218 nt
Filed under: Nicotiana benthamiana
Lineage: Eukaryota; Viridiplantae; Streptophyta; Magnoliopsida; Solanales; Solanaceae
Description: long non-coding RNA (NBEN_LNC012542)
Source: RNAcentral
AAACAGAAUUAGCCGUGAUGAUGUAUUUUAUUGUUUUAUACCGUUGGAGUGUUGGUGGAAUACAUUUGAUCCCUUACUUUAGUUUCGUUUCAUGUGCUUGUUGACACAAUACUUAUGUUAUAAAUGGUGCUCUUCUUAUUUUAGCUUCUUUUUGUCCAUAUUAGUUAGGCGUGUUUGUAGCGAUAUACUUUCCGUGAAAUCCCGAAAAUUUUCUUAUU